AUUGAAGGACGCUGUUGCUGGUGGGUAAACAAGGGAUGCAUUUACACCCGCGAUAGGAAAGUUCAAAGGAAGAAAGUUAAAAACAUCAACAUGAUUGUUUUAGUGAAAAUACAGAAAGCCCUGGGGAUGCUGUCAAGAUUUGGCAUAAUCCAUACCAACAGCCAUCAAAGCACCACAAAACUGACAUUUCUUGUGAUAUACAUUAUAAGAAAGGCACAGGGAACUCCAGACUCUGUGUAGCCGUGCCAUAGUUGUGACAUAAAUUAGACCAUCUGCAAAUGAUCCCCAUCAUAACAUAAAAGUGGCCUCAAGGAACAUGGUUUGAAGAUCUAUCAGCAAUGUAGGUUUAUUAAGGCACUGUACUGACAAACAGUAGAAACCUUAGAAUAUUGUGAUUUAUUCAACUUAAUGCUCAUGUUGUCUUUGAAUUUUAAAGCUUCCCUUUUCAAUUUUGAUAGUUUGAACUAUAAUUUAAUAUAAAUCUGAUGCAGAGCAUUUAUUUCUAUUAUUCUAGGUGAAUAUAGGGAGUUUUUUAAAUUUUUAAAUGUUACAAUGGCUGUGGAAUUAAGGAAGCACAACCUUCCAUUGACAUGUGGUCAUCAAUGUUUGUUGUAUUUUUACACAGUUAUGCUGUGCUGAAGUAAACGUCUAUGUGAAAUUUACUGGGACUAAUGCUGUAAUACUUCUUUCAGCUGUUCUAACUCUUUAAACUUAAUAA
This is a non-coding RNA of Chiloscyllium plagiosum (whitespotted bambooshark), 718 nucleotides long. Lineage: Eukaryota; Metazoa; Chordata; Chondrichthyes; Orectolobiformes; Hemiscylliidae. The record is from RefSeq and is a predicted model, not a curated record.